This 496-nucleotide ribosomal RNA is filed under the name uncultured bacterium. Its description in RNAcentral is "partial 16S ribosomal RNA". It matches the Rfam family "Bacterial small subunit ribosomal RNA", at positions 28 to 506 of the family's 1533-position model. The record is from RNAcentral.
GAUGAACGCUGGCGGCGUGCCUAAUACAUGCAAGUCGAGCGAACGGACGAGAAGCUUGCUUCUCUGAUGUUAGCGGCGGACGGGUGAGUAACACGUGGAUAACCUACCUAUAAGACUGGGAUAACUUCGGGAAGCCGGAGCUAAUACCGGAUAAUAUUUUGAACCGCAUGGUUCAAAAGUGAAAGACGGUCUUGCUGUCACUUAUAGAUGGAUCCGCGCUGCAUUAGCUAGUUGGUAAGGUAACGGCUUACCAAGGCAACGAUGCAUAGCCGACCUGAGAGGGUGAUCGGCCACACUGGAACUGAGACACGGUCCAGACUCCUACGGGAGGCAGCAGUAGGGAAUCUUCCGCAAUGGGCGAAAGCCUGACGGAGCAACGCCGCGUGAGUGAUGAAGGUCUUCGGAUCGUAAAACUCUGUUAUUAGGGAAGAACAUAUGUGUAAGUAACUGUGCACAUCUUGACGGUACCUAAUCAGAAAGCCACGGCUAACUACGU